AAUCAACGCUGGCGGCGUGCCUCAGACAUGCAAUCGAACGCUGCUGUUCGCCUUCGGGUGGACAGCGGAGUGGCGCACGGGUGAGUAACACGUAGGUAAUCUACCUUUGGGUGGGAAUAACAGCCGGAAACGGCUGCUAAUACCGCAUAAUGCAGCGGCAUCACAUGAUGACAGUUGUUAAAGCGAGGGAUCGUAAGACCUCGCGCCUGAAGAGGAGCCUGCGGCAGAUUAGGUAGUUGGUGAGGUAAUGGCUCACCAAGCCUGCGAUCUGUAACCGGCCUGAGAGGGCGGUCGGUCACACUGACACUGACAUACGGGUCAGACUCCUACGGGAGGCAGCAGUCGGGAAUUUUGGG
This 356-nucleotide ribosomal RNA is filed under the name uncultured bacterium. Its description in RNAcentral is "bacterial SSU rRNA". It matches the Rfam family "Bacterial small subunit ribosomal RNA", at positions 32 to 368 of the family's 1533-position model. The record is from RNAcentral.